UAGGUUAUAAAUCCAAAUUGUCAGUAUGGGCAGACAUUAAAGUCAACCUAG
This 51-nucleotide transfer RNA is filed under the name Arctotanais alascensis. RNAcentral's name for it is "tRNA-Asp". The record is from RNAcentral. Lineage: Eukaryota; Metazoa; Arthropoda; Malacostraca; Tanaidacea; Tanaididae.